UUGGAGGGCAAGUCUGGUGCCAGCAGCCGCGGUAAUUCCAGCUCCAAUAGCGUAUAUUAAAGUUGUUGCAGUUAAAAAGCUCGUAGUUGAAUUUCGGGAUUGACGUGAUGGUCAUGCCUUAAGGGGUAUGAACUGUUGCUGUUGAUUUCUCACCUUCUGGAGAAACUUGAUGUCCUUAAUUGGGUGUCUUGCGGAUCCAGGACCUUUACCUUGAAAAAAUUAGAGUGUUUAAAGCAGGCAUUUUUGCUCGAAUACAUUAGCAUGGAAUAAUAGAAUAGGACGGCAUGGUUCUAUUUUGUUGGUUUCUAGGAUCACCGUAAUGAUUAAUAGGGAUAGUUGGGGGCAUUAGUAUUCAAUUGUCAGAGGUGAAAUUCUUGGAUUUAUUGAAGACUAACUACUGCGAAAGCAUUUGCCAAGGAUGUUUUCAUUAAUCAGUGAACGAAAGUUAGGGGAUCGAAGACGAUCAGAUACCGUCGUAGUCUUAACCAUAAACUAUGCCGACUAGGGAUCGGGCGGUGUUACUAUUUUGACUCGCUCGGCACCUUACGGGAAACCAAAGUGUUUGGGUUC
Molecule: ribosomal RNA, 570 nt
Filed under: uncultured Glomeromycotina
Lineage: Eukaryota; Fungi; Glomeromycota
Description: SSU rRNA
Rfam family: Eukaryotic small subunit ribosomal RNA
Source: RNAcentral